UGGGGAAUAUUGCACAAUGGGCGCAAGCCUGAUGCAGCCAUGCCGCGUGUGUGAAGAAGGCCUUCGGGUUGUAAAGCACUUUCAGCGGGGAGGAAGGCGAUAAGGUUAAUAACCUUGUCGAUUGACGUUACCCGCAGAAGAAGCACCGGCUAACUCCGUGCCAGCAGCCGCGGUAAUACGGAGGGUGCAAGCGUUAAUCGGAAUUACUGGGCGUAAAGCGCACGCAGGCGGUCUGUCAAGUCGGAUGUGAAAUCCCCGGGCUUAACCUGGGAACUGCAUUCGAAACUGGCAGGCUAGAGUCUUGUAGAGGGGGGUCGAAUUCCAGGUGUGGCGGUGAAAUGCGUAGAGAUCUGGAGAAAUACCGGUGGCGAAGGCGGCCCCCUGGACAAAGACUGACGCUCAGGUGCGAAAGCGUGGGGAGCAAACAGG
Molecule: ribosomal RNA, 429 nt
Filed under: Chloroflexota bacterium
Lineage: Bacteria; Bacillati; Chloroflexota
Description: Chloroflexi bacterium partial 16S ribosomal RNA
Rfam family: Bacterial small subunit ribosomal RNA
Source: RNAcentral